CGUUCUGAGGAGUUUCCCCCUUGGCAGCCCUGAGCUGGCAGCUCCGGUAGUGACUGCUGGGCCCUGCUGGACGGCGGUCGCAUGCAGCUCCUAUGAGGCCCCUGCCGCCGGUCGGCGAUGUCCGGCUGGAGCUGUCGCCCCCGCCGCCGCUGUUGCCGGUGCCGGUUGUGAGCGGGUCUCCAGUCGGCUCCUCCGGGCGUCUCAUGGCCUCUAGCAGCUCCCUGGUGCCCGACCGGCUGCGCCUGCCGCUCUGCUUCCUGGGUGUCUUUGUCUGCUAUUUUUACUAUGGGAUCCUGCAGGAAAAGAUAACAAGAGGAAAGUAUGGGGAGGGAGCCAAACAGGAGACGUUCACCUUUGCCUUAACUUUGGUCUUCAUUCAAUGUGUGAUCAAUGCUGUGUUUGCCAAGAUCUUGAUCCAGUUUUUUGACACUGCCAGGGUGGAUCGUACCCGGAGCUGGCUCUAUGCUGCCUGUUCUAUCUCCUAUCUGGGUGCCAUGGUCUCCAGCAACUCAGCACUACAGUUUGUCAACUACCCAACUCAGGUCCUUGGUAAAUCCUGCAAGCCAAUCCCAGUCAUGCUCCUUGGGGUGACCCUCUUGAAGAAGAAGUACCCAUUGGCCAAGUACCUGUGUGUGCUGCUAAUUGUGGCUGGAGUGGCCCUUUUCAUGUACAAACCCAAGAAAGUUGUUGGGAUAGAAGAACACACAGUCGGCUAUGGAGAGCUACUCCUGGCCCCUGGCUCUAUUAAUGCCAUAGUGGGAAACCUGAAAUAUUUACAGCUCAGCUCUCAUUCUGGAGAAGAGAUAGCUCUGAGGGUUGUGGCUGAAUCCUGGUGUGAGGUCACGGAGAUCUCAGAGCAGAGAGCUAUUAUCGCUGACCCUGGAUGGACUGACUGGUGUUUCCCAGGACCACAUGCGGGCUCAUUACCAAACAGGCUCCAACCACAUGAUGCUGAACAUCAACCUUUGGUCGACAUUGCUGCUGGGAAUGGGAAUCCUGUUCACUGGGGAGCUCUGGGAGUUCUUGAGCUUUGCUGAAAGGUACCCUGCCAUCAUCUAUAACAUCCUGCUCUUUGGGCUGACCAGUGCCCUGGGUCAGAGCUUCAUCUUUAUGACGGUUGUGUAUUUUGGUCCCCUGACCUGCUCCAUCAUCACUACAACUCGAAAGUUCUUCACAAUUUUGGCCUCUGUGAUCCUCUUCGCCAAUCCCAUCAGCCCCGUGCAGUGGGUGGGCACUGUGCUUGUGUUCCUGGGUCUUGGUCUCGAUGCCAAGUUUGGGAAAGGAGCCAAGAAGACAUCCCACUAGGAAGAGAGAGACUACCUCCACAUCAAGAAUAUUUAAGUUAUUGUCUCAAACAGUGACAUCUCUUAGGAAAAUGGACUUAAUAGGAAUAUGGGACUGAGUUCCAGUCUUUUUUAAAAAAAUAAAAUCAAGCAAAAUCACAUAUUCUAAAAAAUGCACUUGGAUUUUAACAA
Molecule: RNA transcript, 1475 nt
Organism: Piliocolobus tephrosceles (Ugandan red Colobus)
Lineage: Eukaryota; Metazoa; Chordata; Mammalia; Primates; Cercopithecidae
Gene: SLC35B1
Gene name: solute carrier family 35 member B1
Exons: 10
Source: RefSeq, a predicted model, not a curated record